AAAAUGACUCUCGACAACGGAUAUCUCGGCUCUCGCAUCGAUGAAGAACGUAGCGAAAUGCGACACUUGGUGUGAAUUGCAGAAUCCCGUGAACCAUCGAGUCUUUGAACGCAAGUUGCGCCCAAAACCUUCGGGUUGAGGGCACGUCUGCCUGGGUGUCACGC
RNAcentral lists this ribosomal RNA (164 nucleotides) under Synostemon hirtellus. RNAcentral describes it as "5.8S ribosomal RNA". It matches the Rfam family "5.8S ribosomal RNA". Rfam says of the family: 5.8S ribosomal RNA (5.8S rRNA) is a component of the large subunit of the eukaryotic ribosome. It is transcribed by RNA polymerase I as part of the 45S precursor that also contains 18S and 28S rRNA. The record is from RNAcentral. Lineage: Eukaryota; Viridiplantae; Streptophyta; Magnoliopsida; Malpighiales; Phyllanthaceae.